Molecule: long non-coding RNA, 1051 nt
Filed under: Salvia miltiorrhiza (redroot sage)
Lineage: Eukaryota; Viridiplantae; Streptophyta; Magnoliopsida; Lamiales; Lamiaceae
Description: long non-coding RNA (SMIL_LNC010037)
Source: RNAcentral
AGCACUUCACUUUUUUUUUAUGCGCCUCUCUUCACUUUCCCUAAUCUAUCAAACUCUGCAAAUUAAGAAUCCGGCGCAUCCAACUUAUACUGUCGUCUCCAACUCGUCAACUCCCUCAAGGCUCAACGACUUCAUCUAGGCCACACAUAAUCACGUCUAUUUGUUGUUUUCACUCUUUCCCGGUCUCUCUCUGUCGUCCGACGGUAGCCGCCGCCUAGUCCUCGCCGGCUUGCCUCGUCUCCUUCGAUCGACGGCAGAAGUGAGGUAAGGCGGCAGCCUAUUAGGGUGUUUUCGAAGUUUGAUUUUUUUUUUCGCCUUACUGAAGAAUCCAUGGAUUAAGUCGAACAUUUUGUAGAUAUACAGAAAUACUUGAAUAUUUUGUAAAUCUCCAAAUAAUCAGACAUUAGACAAAAUACUUGAUGCUCAUUGCUUUUAUUCAUGGAUAAUGUUAAGAUGUAUGAAAUCAUUUGUUGAAGACAAAAAAACAAUAUAAAGCAGCCCUAAUUUUAUUUCUAAAUCAGUCUAAAUUAUGCGGUUUCUUCAUCUUCACUCUAUUUUUUGUUUUAAUUCUUUCAUCAUAACUCUGCUUCUCUAUGCGCCUCCUUUUUCUUCUCUUCUUUAUUCAGACCCUCUUCUUAUUCUUUCUUCUUGCUGGCAGAAUGUUUCCUUCUUUUUCAUCUCUUUUCUUCAGUUCCUUCUUGUUCUUUUAUUCUUUCCUCUCUCUCUCUCUCCUUUUCUAGUACCUCGCCGGCGCUCACCAAGCCCUAGCUCUCCCUUUCUCUCUCAUCCCCACACUCUCUAUCUCUUUCAGUCGAUUGUAGAUAUAGAUUCCGUAACUAUACCCCGAGUUUUAUUCUCCAGCUGAAUUGCCGAUUAAUUCCGACAAGGUACCGUUCUGUCAAUUGUCAAUUUACCGUUCCUCUCUGAAGGAUUUGUUCUGAUUAACUUCUGUGUUAUCGUUCCUAGCUUUGCUGAAGCUCUUUCCGUGUGCGUGUGUGUGUGUGUUUCCCUUUCACCUGAAGCUGAUUACUGAUCGAUCCCGCUUCUGNNN